AACGAACGCUGGCGGCAUGCCUAACACAUGCAAGUCGAACGGGACCUUCGUGUCUAGUUGCGCUCGGGGGCGUAACGCGGGGGAACCUGCCCUUAUGUUCCGGAUACCUCCCCUUAGGGGGUGUUAAUACCGGAUAAUGUCUUCGGACAAAAGAUUUUUCGCCUUUGGGUGGGCCCGGGUUGGUUUGGUUAGUUGGGAGGGUAAUAGCCUAGCAAGGCUUGGUUCGCUAGCUGGUCUGAGAGGAUGACACGCCACACUGGGACUGCGACACGGCCCAGAAUCUUACGCGAGGGAGGAGUGGGGAAUAUAGGACAAUGGGGGAAGUCAUGAUACCGCAAUGCCGGGGGAGUGAUGAAGGCGGUAGGGAAGUACAGCUCUUUUACCCGGGACGAUAAUGACAGUACCGGGAGAAUAAGCACCGGCUAACUCCGUG
This 433-nucleotide ribosomal RNA is filed under the name uncultured bacterium. RNAcentral's name for it is "partial 16S ribosomal RNA". It matches the Rfam family "Bacterial small subunit ribosomal RNA", at positions 29 to 507 of the family's 1533-position model. The record is from RNAcentral.